UUUAUGGAGAGUUUGAUCCUGGCUCAGGAUGAACGCUGGCGGCGUGCCUAAUACAUGCAAGUCGAGCGAACGGACGAGAAGCUUGCUUCUCUGAUGUUAGCGGCGGACGGGUGAGUAACACGUGGAUAACCUACCUAUAAGACUGGGAUAACUUCGGGAAACCGGAGCUAAUACCGGAUAAUAUUUUGAACCGCAUGGUUCAAAAGUGAAAGACGGUCUUGCUGUCACUUAUAGAUGGAUCCGCGCUGCAUUAGCUAGUUGGUAAGGUAACGGCUUACCAAGGCAACGAUGCAUAGCCGACCUGAGAGGGUGAUCGGCCACACUGGAACUGAGACACGGUCCAGACUCCUACGGGAGGCAGCAGUAGGGAAUCUUCCGCAAUGGGCGAAAGCCUGACGGAGCAACGCCGCGUGAGUGAUGAAGGUCUUCGGAUCGUAAAGCUCUGUUAUUAGGGAAGAACAUAUGUGUAAGUAACUGUGCACAUCUUGACGGUACCU
This 497-nucleotide ribosomal RNA is filed under the name Escherichia coli. Its description in RNAcentral is "bacterial SSU rRNA". It matches the Rfam family "Bacterial small subunit ribosomal RNA", at positions 1 to 480 of the family's 1533-position model. Lineage: Bacteria; Pseudomonadati; Pseudomonadota; Gammaproteobacteria; Enterobacterales; Enterobacteriaceae. The record is from RNAcentral.